Molecule: RNA transcript, 2556 nt
Organism: Rattus rattus (black rat)
Lineage: Eukaryota; Metazoa; Chordata; Mammalia; Rodentia; Muridae
Gene: Atf6b
Gene name: activating transcription factor 6 beta
Exons: 17
Source: RefSeq, a predicted model, not a curated record
GCCCGGAGGAGGCGGGCCCGAGAACCGGCUCAUGGUGGGGGGUGGGGGGAAGAUGGCGGAGCUGAUGCUCCUCAGCGAGAUCGCCGACCCGACGCGCUUCUUCACCGACAACCUGCUGAGUCCGGAGGACUGGGACAGCACCUUGUACAGUGGCCUGGAUGAAGUGGCCGAGGAGCAGACGCAGUUGUUUCGUUGCGUGGAGCAGGAUGUCCCGUUUGACAGCAGCUCUCUGGAUGUGGGGAUGGAUGUCAGCCCCCCUGAGCCCCCCUGGGACCCUCUACCCAUCUUCCCAGAUCUUCAGGUGAAGUCUGAGCCGUCCUCUCCCUGCUCUUCUUCCUCCCUCAGCUCAGAAUCCUCACAUCUUUCCACAGAGCCCUCCAGCCAGGUUCCUAGAGUAGGGGAGGUGCUGCAGGUAAAGAUGGAGUCCCUGGCACCCCCACUCUGCCUGCUGGGAGAUGAUCCAGCGUUCCCCUUUGAAACAGUCCAGAUCACUGUGGGCUCUGCCUCUGAUGAUCUCGCAGAUAUCCAGACCAAGCUAGAACCCGCCUCUCCGUCUUCCUCUGUCAACUCCGAGGCCUCCUUGCUGUCAGCAGACUCUCCCAGCCAGGCUCUUAUAGGAGAGGAGGUUCUGGAAGUGAAGACAGAGUCUCCGUCCCCUCCAGGGUGCCUCCUCUGGGAUGUCCCAGCCUCUUCACUUGGAGCUGUCCAGAUCAGCAUGGGUCCGUCCCCUGAUAGUUCCUCAGGGAAAGCUCCUGCCCCUCGGAAGCCUCCACUGCAGCCCAAGCCUGUGGUGCUAACCACAGUUCCGGUGCCACCUAGAGCUGGGCCUGCCAGCACUGCUGUCCUUCUGCAGCCCCUGGUCCAGCAGCCCACAGUAUCCCCGGUGGUUCUCAUCCAAGGUGCUAUCCGAGCCCAGCCUGAAGGGCCAGCUCCCGCAGCCCCGCGGCCUGAGAGGAAGAGCAUUGUCCCAGCCCCUAUGCCGGGGAACGCCUGCCCGCCUGAAGUGGACGCGAAGCUGCUGAAGCGCCAGCAGCGGAUGAUUAAGAACCGGGAGUCGGCCUGCCAGUCCCGCCGCAAGAAGAAGGAGUACCUGCAAGGCCUGGAGGCCCGGCUGCAGGCCGUGCUGGCCGACAACCAGCAGCUGCGCCGGGAGAAUGCUGCCCUCCGGCGGCGGCUGGAGGCCCUACUGACAGAGAACAGCGAGCUCAAGCUGGGGUCUGGAAACAGGAAGGUUGUCUGCAUCAUGGUCUUCCUUCUCUUCAUUGCCUUCAACUUUGGGCCUGUGAGCAUCAGCGAGCCACCUCCAGCUCCCAUCUCUCGGAUGAGCAGGGAGGGACCCCGACCCCAGAGGCAUCUGCUGGGGUUCUCAGAACCAGGGCCAGCUCACGGCAUUGAACCCCUCCAGGAAGCUGCCCAGGGCCCUGAGGAGCAGCAGCCCAGCCCUGCAGGCAAGCCCAGCUUCAGAAACCUGACAGCCUUCCCCGGUGGGGCCAAGGAGCUGCUGCUGAGAGACCUGGACCAGCUCUUCCUUUCCUCUGACUGCCGCCAUUUCAACCGAACUGAGUCUCUGAGGCUUGCUGAUGAGCUGAGUGGCUGGGUCCAACGUCACCAGAGAGGUCACCAGAGAGGUCGACGGAAGAUACCUCACAGGGCCCAGGAGAGACAGAUACUUCUCCUUCCAGAAGUCUCAGCUACGGAAGAAGUCCCCUCCAGUGAAACCAGUCCCCACCCAACCUCCAGGACCCCCUGAAAGGGACCCCGUGGGCCAGCUGCAGCUCUACCGCCACCCAGGCCGCUCACAGCCGGAGUUUCUAGAUGCAAUUGACCGGAGGGAAGAUACCUUCUAUGUUGUCUCCUUCCGAAGGGACCACUUGCUGCUCCCAGCCAUCAGCCACAACAAGACGUCCAGGCCCAAGAUGUCGCUGGUGAUGCCAGCCAUGGCCCCCAAUGAGACCGUGUCAGGCCGGGGGCCCGCCGGGGACUAUGAGGAGAUGAUGCAGAUUGAGUGUGAAGUCAUGGACACCAGGGUGAUUCACAUCAAGACCUCCACGGUGCCCCCCUCACUCCGGAAGCAGCCGUCCCCGUCCCCAGGCAAUACCACAGGUGGCCCCUUGCCAGGCUCCGCAGCCAGUCCGGCCCAUCAGGCCUCCCACCAGCCCCUCUACCUCAAUCAUCCCUGACCUCUUCAGCCCAUAUUGGCUUAGAACCGGGUUGGGGAGCCUGAUCCUGGGGCUCGGGGCAGUUGGUAAAGGAAGGUGGGGUGUGGGGAUUAAGCACUUAGCGGGACAUGGGUGGGUGGUUCACCUCUCUUCUCACUCUCUCCGGAAUAUAGAGCUCCUCUGGUUCCUGCACCCCCAGUCCUCUUUCUCCGAGGGCACUGCGUGAGGGUGGCUCCUGUACCCUCUUCUGUACCUGUACCUUUAUCUAUUCGGGAGUAAAGGUGGGACUUGGUCCCCAGGUGGGACAGGGGAUGGUCUCGGGUGGCACAAGGCAGUUAUGUGUGUGCAUAUCUUUUUUAUUAUUAUUAAAUAAACAACUUGGAGGGGUGUAAAGGAA